UUCUCUUCAGGAAAUGAGAACGUAGCAGGGAUUAGUCGGAGAACGGAGUGACGGUCCAGAUGAUAGCAUUAGUAGUCCUCACUAUUCUAUGAAAUAGUGUGAUAAUAAAUGUAUUGAGGACUUAUUUUGAGUUUGAAUACUGUCUAGAAGACAAUGUUUGUAUUAAAACUCACAGCUCAUGUUGUAUAUUUAAGAUUGUAUUUGUAUUCUGUACCAUGUAUUUGGCGACUCAAAAUAGGUGAUGUAUACCUAUUUUGGGGGC
RNAcentral lists this long non-coding RNA (262 nucleotides) under Panax ginseng (ginseng). RNAcentral describes it as "long non-coding RNA (PGIN_LNC004295)". Lineage: Eukaryota; Viridiplantae; Streptophyta; Magnoliopsida; Apiales; Araliaceae. The record is from RNAcentral.